This 72-nucleotide transfer RNA is filed under the name Lentimicrobium saccharophilum. It matches the Rfam family "tRNA". Rfam says of the family: Transfer RNA (tRNA) molecules are approximately 80 nucleotides in length. Their secondary structure includes four short double-helical elements and three loops (D, anti-codon, and T loops). RNAcentral also lists the same sequence under 7 other names. The record is from Rfam by way of RNAcentral. Lineage: Bacteria; Pseudomonadati; Bacteroidota; Bacteroidia; Bacteroidales; Lentimicrobiaceae.
GGCCCUGUAGUUCAAUGGAUAGAACGGAAGUUUCCUAAACUUUAAAUAUAGGUUCGAUUCCUAUCGGGGCUA